Molecule: ribosomal RNA, 440 nt
Filed under: uncultured bacterium
Lineage: Bacteria
Description: bacterial SSU rRNA
Rfam family: Bacterial small subunit ribosomal RNA
Source: RNAcentral
CCUACGGGGGGCAGCAGUGGGGAAUAUUGCACAAUGGGCGCAAGCCUGAUGCAGCGACGCCGCGUGAGCGAUGAAGGCCCUCGGGUCGUAAAGCUCUGUCCUAAGGGAAGAAUAAUGACGAUACCUUAGGAGGAAGCCCCGGCUAACAACGUGCCAGCAGCCGCGGUAGUACGUAGGGGGCGAGCGUUAGCCGGAAUCACUGGGCGGAAAGGGUGCGUAGGCGGCCAUGCAAGUCAGGGGUUAAAGCCCGCGGCUCAACCGAGGUCAGCUCUUGAUACUGGAUGGCUUGAGUGUAGAAGAGGAAAGCGGAAUUCCUAGUGUAGCGGUGAAAUGCGUAGAUAUUAGGAAGAACACCAGUGGCGAAGGCGGCUUUCUGGACUAUAACUGACGCUGAGGCACGAAAGCGUGGGGAGCGAACAGGAUUAGAUACCCGGGUAGUC